Molecule: ribosomal RNA, 257 nt
Filed under: Clostridioides difficile
Lineage: Bacteria; Bacillati; Bacillota; Clostridia; Peptostreptococcales; Peptostreptococcaceae
Description: partial 16S ribosomal RNA
Rfam family: Bacterial small subunit ribosomal RNA
Source: RNAcentral
GACGAUCAGUAGCCGACCUGAGAGGGUGAUCGGCCACAUUGGAACUGAGACACGGUCCAAACUCCUACGGGAGGCAGCAGUGGGGAAUAUUGCACAAUGGGCGAAAGCCUGAUGCAGCAACGCCGCGUGAGUGAUGAAGGCCUUCGGGUCGUAAAACUCUGUCCUCAAGGAAGAUAAUGACGGUACUUGAGGAGGAAGCCCCGGCUAACUACGUGCCAGCAGCCGCGGUAAUACGUAGGGGGCUAGCGUUAUCCGGA